GGUAGUUGGAGAGCGAGAUGGGUCGGUGGAGGAAUCCACCGUGACGGAGCAGAGCGUUGGCAGAGGUGGUGGGAAUGUGAGGAAGAGGAAGGAUUUGAGCUCAGAAGACGAGUCAUUUAAGAUGGUUUCUACUUCCAGCAGUGGCAACGAAUUGAAUGAUUCAAAUGGUAAGCGGAUGAAAAUAUCAGGAUCCCGGAAUGAGAGCAGCAAUUCAAAAGCUGGAGCAGAACCAAAUUCUGUUGCCAAUAAGAAGCCAUCUGAGCAAAACAGUAACCUAUCCGAGCCACCUAAGCAAGACUAUAUUCAUGUGAGAGCAAGAAGGGGUCAAGCAACUGAUAGUCACAGUCUAGCAGAAAGAGCUAGGAGAGAAAAGAUAAGUGAGAGGAUGAAGAUACUCCAAGAUUUGGUUCCUGGAUGUAAUAAGGUUAUUGGUAAAGCACUUGUUCUUGAUGAGAUAAUNUAACUACAUCCAAUCACUACAGUGUCAAGUUGAGCUGGAAGCAGUUAAUUCAAGAAUGAAC
Molecule: unclassified non-coding RNA, 521 nt
Filed under: Hevea brasiliensis (rubber tree)
Lineage: Eukaryota; Viridiplantae; Streptophyta; Magnoliopsida; Malpighiales; Euphorbiaceae
Source: RNAcentral